This is an unclassified non-coding RNA of Cricetulus griseus (Chinese hamster), 160 nucleotides long. Lineage: Eukaryota; Metazoa; Chordata; Mammalia; Rodentia; Cricetidae. The record is from Ensembl.
CUGACUGCACUGAAGACUGAAAUGCUCUCUUUAUCCACAGAACAGGUACAGCCCGGGAAACGCCAGUGCAAUGUGCCAAUGUGCCUAAACCCCGACUCGGAUGGACAGCCGCUGAGAACAAGAGGUUGGUUGGGUCCCGGGGUCUCAGAUUGUAGAACUG